Molecule: long non-coding RNA, 559 nt
Organism: Chenopodium quinoa (quinoa)
Lineage: Eukaryota; Viridiplantae; Streptophyta; Magnoliopsida; Caryophyllales; Amaranthaceae
Exons: 3
Source: RefSeq, a predicted model, not a curated record
GUAUGUACCUCGUAUUCUCGUUAAAUAGAAAGACCUCGUUGGCUGUCUAUCUUAACAGUUAGUACAAUCACAAAAACAAGAAGAAUAAGAGCGGCGUAGUGAGGCAGAAUCAAAGAAAAUGAGUUAUCCUCCUCCUCAAGGUUACCCUCCUCCAAAUCAAGGUUACCCGCCACAAGGGUACCCACCACCUCCAAUGGGCGGUUACCCUCCUCCGCAAUAUGCUGCCCCGCCACCACAUCCUCCACAAGAGCAGAAGAAGCAAGUUGGUUGCUUGGAAGGAUGUUUGGCUGCUCUCUGCUGCUGUUGCAUUUUGGAUGCUUGCUUCGAUUGUUUUUAACAAGCAUGCUGGAUUAUUUAUAUUGCUUUUGAAUCUCGGCCCAUAACAAAAGGACAGAAGAUCUAGUUUAUUUUGUAGUGAAUUCUUUAGAUCUUUCACUUGGAAUUUAAUUACUCUAUUUGAUUUUGAUGUGUUGUCAUUUUUUUUUUCCUAUGUGAGCAUGAUUACUGCUUUUGACCUAAUAUCUUGAUCUAUUAUCGAUUAUUCAUGUUGAUGCAGCAA